This 543-nucleotide ribosomal RNA is filed under the name uncultured bacterium. RNAcentral describes it as "bacterial SSU rRNA". It matches the Rfam family "Bacterial small subunit ribosomal RNA", at positions 356 to 896 of the family's 1533-position model. The record is from RNAcentral.
GAGGAAUAUUGGUCAAUGGACGGAAGUCUGAACCAGCCAAGUAGCGUGCAGGAUGACGGCCCUAUGGGUUGUAAACUGCUUUUGUAUGGGGAUAAAGUUAGGGACGUGUCCCUAUUUGCAGGUACCAUACGAAUAAGGACCGGCUAAUUCCGUGCCAGCAGCCGCGGUAAUACGGAAGGUCCAGGCGUUAUCCGGAUUUAUUGGGCGUAAAGCGAGCGCAGGCGGUUAGAUAAGUCUGAAGUUAAAGGCUGUGGCUUAACCAUAGUACGCUUUGGAAACUGUUUAACUUGAGUGCAAGAGGGGAGAGUGGAAUUCCAUGUGUAGCGGUGAAAUGCGUAGAUAUAUGGAGGAACACCGGUGGCGAAAGCGGCUCUCUGGCUUGUAACUGACGCUGAGGCUCGAAAGCGUGGGGAGCAAACAGGAUUAGAUACCCUGGUAGUCCACGCCGUAAACGAUGAGUGCUAGGUGUUAGACCCUUUCCGGGGUUUAGUGCCGUAGCUAACGCAUUAAGCACUCCGCCUGGGGAGUACGACCGCAAGGUUG